Molecule: long non-coding RNA, 6440 nt
Filed under: Homo sapiens (human)
Lineage: Eukaryota; Metazoa; Chordata; Mammalia; Primates; Hominidae
Description: non-protein coding lnc-CCDC13-1:1
Rfam family: Metazoan signal recognition particle RNA (bases 5241-5543)
Source: RNAcentral
AUUUUUAGAUUAUGAUGGAUCCCAUAGUGCUCACUGCCUACCAGGCAUUCAAGUAGAACAUGUGUAUGUGGCUCAUUCAUUCAUCAAGAACCUGUGCACUGCUUUAAAUGCUGAAGAGUCAGCAGUGAGCAAAUCAGGCAGGAAUUCCGGUCUUCAUGGAGCUUACAUUCGUCAGGAGGUCGGGGCAAGGUUGGUAGGGGAGACAGAAAUAAAUAAAUAGUUAUACGGGGCAUCAGAUGAUGGUUAUGGCUGUGGAGACAAGUGAAACGGAAGGCGCAUGGGAAGUGGGAGGAGGAGGUGGUAACGAUUUUAAAUGGAGUAGUCAGGAUGGACUCACCGAGAGGAUCACAUUUGAGAGGGGUCAAACCGUGGAGGAUUCCCAGUGGGGGAACAGCUGGAGCAAAGGUCCUGAGGCAAGAGAGUGCCUGGCACGUUCCCAAAACAGCACGGAGGCCAAUAGGGCUGGAGCAGUGAACGAGGAGCUUCCCCAGGAACACAGACAUGCCACUGAGCUCAACCCAUUGUAUGCGCCCAUCCCAAAACUUCAGUUUGGAACAGGAAGCAGGAACCUGCAGCAUCCAUAUUUUGGCGAAGGGCUGAUGGACAGCAGUGUUGGAACUUCUGGAGUCUACUUUCCACUGUCCACCAUACAAGCUGAGGGAUCUGUCCCUACUGGCUGUGGUUUGGCCAUUGUCUGGGCUAUGUAUCCUGCAAUCCUGACUCGAGCAUUCCUGAAGUUUCUGUAAUCUGUCUGAUACCACACUAGCCAGUGAAGAUUCUGUGAUCUACUGCUAAGAGGGCUGUGUGAUGUUGAAAAUCAUUUCAGGAGUAUACCAGCAACAGGUGCUCAAGGGUGAGCUUGAGAAGUCGAGAGAAUUUCUAAUGGCCUGCUUGCUUCUUCACUGACUUCUGGGUUAAAGGUGGCCUAUGAUGCAAGAAGUUGAGAUGCUGGAAAUGCUCUUACAUUACAUAAAAGGAUCCAAAAACAGGCAGCCCAGAAUGUUGGAGUGGAUUUAUUAGGUAUGUCAUCCAUCCCCACCUGUGUUUGCUGAGAGGGCUUAGAGGACACUUUUGCCCAUCACUGAGGAACUUGUUGGUGAGAAAUGCUGGCAACUUUGGCCUGUCAAGGGUGUGGGUGGGAGCCUUUGCCUAUGAAGUGGCCUUCCUGCUUUCAGGGAGGAUAAUGGGAUCUUAGGGUUGACAAUGGCCAAGGAAUGGCUCAUAAGCACCAAAGGCAAAAUGGGCAUGGUUACUGUAAUAAGCAGCAGGGCUGGAGUGGGUGGUAAUCAGAUGGUUUGACCUACAGAGAUCCUUGGGAGUGACUAAUGGAUUGUGGGUUUCCUAAGAAUUGAAAUUGGUCAUUCUACUAAAGUUUUACUGAUAUGUAUUCUGAAUCUGGAUUUGCCUUCUCUGCCUGCCACAUUUCUGCUAAUCCCUCUAUCCAUAGACUUCACGCCUUACUCAUUUUCAUGGAACCAAAUUCAAGCCUGCUUCUGAUCGAAGAUCUCAUUUUGUAGCAGGAGAAGUGAGGCAAGCCUUCCAGUUAAUGGUGGCAGAUAAAAUACACAUUUUAAUUUUGCUUCCUUUUGAAAGCUCACUACAAUUAAAGUAGAUGGUAAAGAGAAAAAAAUAUAUAGCAUAAACUCUCAGGAACAUAGUAUACAACAUACUCUACAGGGACAUAACAAUACCACCACGGAUUCUGGAAAGCAGGUGAUGUGUGAUGAGCAGCGUAGCAGUCCUGACUCUAAGUCAGCAGUGGGAAGCCCAGAUGCAACUCUUCUAUACCUCAGAAUCCACAGAGAAGGUCCAGAAUUGGCAACACCAGGUACCUUUAAACAUACAGGAGAAUCAACCACCACCUGGUAGAAGCCAGGUGUUUCAUUUCCAAAGAAGGUAAACCAGAGGGCUCUUGACUAAGACACUCAGCAGAGGUGAAGGCAGUGGUGCAGUGUGAACACUGGGUAAUUAAAAGAAACUCCAUGUUCUAAAUGGAAAACCCUAUUCCCACUCAGCUCCCAGAAAGCUGGCAGGUCAGCUAUGACCUCCAAAUAGAGAAUUGAAAUUGAGGGAUCUGACAGCCCAAGAGGAAACAAAAAGAUAUCAGUAAGCCUGGUCAAAUCAUCCUACAGUGAAGCCCUCUAAUUAACAAGGCCCUUCACACAUGCUGAGUUUCCAAUGAGCUCUUUGGCGAUUGAUAUGGUUUGGCCAUGUCCCCACCCAAAUUUCAUCUUGAAUUGUGGCUCCCACGAUUCCCACGUGUCGUGGGAGGGAAUUGAAUCAUGGGGGCGGGUCUUUCCCUUGCUGUUCUCAUAAUGAAUAAGUCUCACAAGAGCUGAUGGUUUUAUAAAGAGGAGUUGCCCUGCACAAGUUCUCUCUCUGCCUGCUGCCAUCCAUGUAAGACAGGACUUGGCUCCUCCUUGCCUUCUGCCAUGAUUGUGAGCCCUCCCCAACCAUGUGGAACUGUGAGUCAAUUAAACCUCUUUCCUUUCUAAAUUACCCAGUCUCAGGUAUGUUUUUGUCAGCAGUGUGAAAACGGACUAAUACAGUGAUCUACUUUUUUAAAUGUUUGAAAAGACGACUUCUGGCCUGGACAAAAUGGUGUAAACUUGUUUCCCCCUGCUCCUUCCUGUCAAGUACAACUAUGAACUGUGAAAACAAUGCAAGAGGCAAUCAGAAGAUAACACUGAAAGCUGGCAAGGGAAUUAUGCAUUAGUUUGGGACCCUAAGAAUAAAGGAACAACUCAGUGGCAGGAUAUCUUAUGUGCCCCCACUCAGUGGAAGAAGAUGACCCAGGCCUGGUGUUUCCAGACACCCAGCCUAUCAACAGAAGGCAGCCAAAACAGGCUCAGCCCUCUUACAAUUUGAAGAGGAGUCCCUCUGACAACUCCACAUGAGCCCAGCACCACCAGAGGGGAGAUUACUCAGGUGCCCCACUAACAAUUAGCAACCAGGGGAAGCACUCUCCUUUCACACUGGGCCCGAAACUCACCUCCCCUGCCAAGAGAGCUGGGCAGCCUGACCUGGGAACACCCCUUCUGCCCUCUCAGGCAGCACCAGCAGGAACCAGCAGGAGCUCCAGCAGCACCAAAGAAACCAAGCAUAUGAAAAGAACACCACAAAGCAUCUGAAAAUUAAAUUGUCAUUGGAACCUCAGCCCACUGGAACCUCAGUCCUCAGACCGAGAUAUGCAUGAUAAAUGUAAACAAGGUGACUGAUGUUGCAACCAAUGAACUAAGUAGGACCCAGAGUCUCCUAACAUGAUGGCCAAAAUAUCUAAGACACAACUGAAACUCACCUGUCAUACCAAGAAUGAGGAAUAUCACAACCUGAAUGUGAAAAGAAUCAACUGGCACCAACACUGAGAUUAACCAGUUGUUAGGAUUAUCUGGCAAGGAUUUUAAAGUGGCCAUCAUAAUAAUGCUUCAACAAUUGAUUCAAAUUUUAUUGGAAUGAAUAAAAAAAUUUAAAAUCUCACCAAAAAAGAAGUUAUAUAGAAGAACCAAAUGGAAAUUAUAGAACUGAAAAAUACAACCACAGAAAUAAAAGCCUACUAGAUGGCCUCAAUAGGGGAGAGAUGACAGAAGAUAAAAUCAGUGCUUGAUUGAGGACAGAUCAAUAGAAUUUACCCAGUCUAAACAACAAAGACAUAAUAUUGUGGGAAGAAAUGAUAUAUAUAUAUGUGUGUGUGUGUAUGUGUGUGUGUGUGUGUGUAUACAUAUAUAUAUACACAUAGAGAGAGAGAGUCAGUCUCAGGGGCCCAUAGGACAAUAACAAAAAAAUCAGUGUUUGUAUCACUGCAUAUCAUUGCAGUCUCAGAAGGAGAGGAGAAAGAAUGAGGCUGAGAGAAUAACUAAAGUAAUAAUGCCUGAAGACUUCCAAAAUUUGGUUAAGACACAAACCAGCACAUCCAAGAAGCUGAGAAAACCCCAAACAGAAUAAACCCAAAUAAAUCCAUGCCAAGACACAUCAUAAUUAAACUUUUGAAAACUAAAGACAAAGAAAAAAAUAUCAAAAGCAGACAGAGAGAAACAAUACAUCACCUGUAGUUAAACACCAAUUCAAAUGACAGUGGAUUUAUCAUCCAAAACUAUGGAGGCCAUUUGGGAGGCCUACGCGAGCAGAUCACUUGAGAUCAGGAGUUCAAGACCAGCCUGGCCGACAUGGUGAAAACCCAUCUCUACUAAAAAUACAAAAAUUAGCUGGGUGUGGUGGCACACGCUGGUAGUCCCAGCUACUCGGGAGACCAAGGCAGGAGAAUUGUUUAACUCAGGAAGCAGAGGUUGCAGUGAGCUAAGAUCAUGCCACUGCACUCCAGCCUGGACUCUAACACUCGCUGGACACAGUGAGACUCCAUCUCUAAAAAAAAGCAAAACUAUGGAGGCCAGAAGGAAGUGGUACAACAUAUUUCAAGUGCUGGGGGAGCUAUCAGCUGUGAAUUUUAUAUCCAAUGAAAGUAUCUUUCAGGAAUGAAGGGGAAGUAAUCCCAGAAAAUCCCCAUAAAAUGCUUACAGGAACUAAUCAAUGAGUUCAGCAAAGUUGGAGGAUAUAAGAUUAACACACAAACAUUAAUUGCAUUUCUAUUUACUAACAAUGAACAUGAAGAAAAUGAAAUUUAAAACUUAAUACCAUGUACAGUCACUCAAAAGAAAAUGAAAUAUUUAGGCAAAACACAUAGAGGAUAUGUAUGCCAAAAACUACAAAAUGCUGAUUAAAGAAAUAAUGGAAGAGCUAAACAAAUGGAGAGACAGAGUGUGUUCAUGUGUUGGGAGACAACAUAGUAAAGAUGUCAAUUCUCCUCAAACUGAAUUAUAAGUUUCAUUCAAUGCCUAUCAAAAUUCCAGCAAAGUUUUUAAUAGAUUUAGACAAGCAUAUUCUAAAAUUUAUAUGGAAAGUUAAAGACCCUCGAAUAGUUAGAAUAAUCUUGACAAAGAAGAAUAAAGUGGGAGGAAUCACUCUACCUGAUAUAGCUACAGUAGGCAAGAUCAUAUGGUAUUGGCAAAGGGAUAAACAUAUAGAUCAAUAGACCCGAACAGAGGACCCAGAAAUAGAUCCAAAUAGGCUCAACCGAUUUUUGACAAAGAUGCAAAAGCAAUUCAAAACUUUUCAACAAAUAGUGCUGGAGCAAUUAGACAUCCAUAGCGGAAAUAAUAACCUCAACCUAAAUCUCACAACUUACACAAAAAUUAACUUGAAAUGGAUCGUGGACUUAAGAUGUAAAACAUCUAAAAUGACUUUGAGCCAGGUGUGGUGGCUCGUGCCUAUAGUCCCAGCUCCUCGGGAGGGUGAGACAGGAGGAGGAUUGCUUGAGCCCAGGAGUUCUGGGCUGUAGUGCACAGUGCUGAUUGGGUGUCCACAGUAAGUUCAGCAUCAAUAUGGUGACCCCCUGGAAGUGGGAGACCACCAAGUUGCCUAAGGAGAAGUGAACUAACACAGGUUGCAGAUGGAGCAGGCCAAAACUCCCAUGCUGAUCAGUAGUGGGAUUGCACCUGUAAAUAACCACUAUACUCCAGCCUGGGCAACACAGCAAGACUAUUGUCUCAAAAAAAAAAACUUGAAAAAGAAGAAAGUUAAUGGUCUCCCACGUCCUGAUUUCAAAACUUACUACAAAGCGACAAUAAUCAAAACAGUGUGGCACUGGCAUAAAGGCAGAUAAUAGAUGGUGAUAGUUAAUUUUAGGUGUCAGUUUGACUGGACUAAGGGAUGUCCAGAUACCUGAUAUAACAUUAUUUCCAGUGUGUCUAUGAGGGUGUCUCUGGAAUAGAUGAGCAUUUCAAUCAGUUGUGCAUUGUUGAUGGGAAUGUAAAACAGUAUAGGUGCUGUGGAAAACAGUAUGGCAGUUCCUUAAAAAAUUAAAAAUCGGCCAGGCACAGUGGCUCAUGCCUGUAAUCCCAGCACUUUGGGAGGCCAAGGCAGCUGGAUCACGAGGUCAGGAGAUCGAAACCAUCCUGGCUAACAUGGUGAAAUCCCAUCUCUACUAAAAACACAAAAAACUAGCCAGGCAUGGUGGCGGGCACCUGUAAUUCCAGCUACGGGAGACUGAGGCAGGAGAAUGGCAUGAACCCGGGAGGCGGAGCCUGCAGUGAGCCGAGAUCACGCCACUGCACUCCAGCCUGGGCGACAGAGCGAGACUCUGUCUCAAAAAAAAAAAAAAAUUAAAAAUCAAAUUACCAUGUGAUCUAGCAAUUCCACAUUUGAGUAUAUACCCAAAAGAACUGAAAGCAGGGCCUUGAAGAGAUAUUUAUAUACCCAUGUUCAUAGCAGCAUUAUUUGCAAUGCCCAAAAGGUGGAAGCAACCCAAGUGUCCACUGAUGAAUUAAUUAAUAAGCUAAAUGUGGUAUAUAUAUUAUUCAGCCUUAAAGAGGACGGAAAUUCUGACACACGCUACAACAUGGAUGAAGUGUGAAGACAUUAUGCUAAAUGAAAUAAACCAGUCAAAA